RNAcentral lists this ribosomal RNA (1059 nucleotides) under Triticum aestivum (bread wheat). RNAcentral's name for it is "partial small subunit ribosomal RNA". Lineage: Eukaryota; Viridiplantae; Streptophyta; Magnoliopsida; Poales; Poaceae. The record is from RNAcentral.
AUGAAGCCAAUGUCGGCGCUGCUGUCCACCCUGCGCCGGGCCGGCCGGCAGCACCUCACGGCGUCCACCGUCGGCGCGAGGCCGCGCAUCACCGGCUCCCACGUCCUCCGGAUCCACGGCUACAAGCACGUGAAGCAGUCGGUCCCCAACGGCGAGGCGGUGGAGUCAGCCACGUUCCACGUCGGCGGCCGCGCCUGCCGGAUCAAGUGCUACCCGAACGGCAGCGGCAAGAAGCACCACGGCUACACGUCCCUCUUCCUCACCAGCCUCCACGACGCCGGCACGGUGGGGCUCGAGCUCAGCCUGCUCGACCGGGACGGGAGGCCGUCGCUCACACGCGCCACGGAACAGCGACGCUUCUGGAUUGGCGACAGCGCGGGCUGGGGCUUCAAAGACUUCGUCAAGAACGACGAUCUGGUCGAGGGAGAGGACCUCGUGGACGACUGCCUCACCGUCCUCUGCGACGUCACCGUCCACGACCCUUCCUUGCACGCCGAGGACGUUGCCGCGCCGGCAGCGGCCGAGCCGCUCGACCUAAGUGGGGAGCUCGGGGAGGCCAUGUGGAACGAGACGGACGUGACGAUCCACGUCGGCGACGAGACGUUCCCGGCGCACCGUUCGGUGCUGGAGGCUGCGUCCCCCGUCUUCAAGGCGGACCUCGAGAACAACGCCACCGGCGAGGUACGCGUCGACGACAUGGACGCGGAGGUGUUCAAGACCCUGCUCCAGUUCAUGUACACGAGCGCGCUGCCUGACAGGAACCAGCUCGAGGCGGACGUCGCGACGGCGGAGCGGCUGCUCGUGGCGGCUGACAGGUACGGGCUGGAGAAGAUAAAGGUUGUCUGCGAGGAGACGCUGUGCCCGCACGUCGACAUGGGCUCUGUGGCCGCCAUGCUGGCGUUGGCGGAGCGACAUGGCUGUGCCCUACUGAAGGAGGCGUCCAUUAAGUUCCUUUCUGGUCCCGGUAAUCUGAAAUUAUUCAUGGCGACCGAUGGUUUCCAGCAGCUGACGAGAAGCUACCCAUCUGCGGUGCUGGACCUUCUUGUCAACCGCCUAUAG